UUGGUCAGGGUGACCAAGAACCUGAUGGUCACUCUGACAGAACUCUAGAGUUCCUCUGUGGAGAUGGGAGAACCUUCCAGAAGGACAACCAUCUCUGCAGCACUCCACCAAUCAGGCCUUUAUGGUAGAGUGGCCAGACGGAAGCCACUCUUCAGUAAAAGGCACAUGACAGCCCCCUUGGAGUUUACAAAAGGAUUCUCAGACCAUGAGAAACAGUAUUCUCUCCUCUGAUGAAAGCAAGAUUGAACUUUACAAUAAGUCUGUAAUGUAACAUAAUGUGGAAAACUCAAGGGGUCUGAAUACUUUCUGAAUGCACUGAAUGUGCAUUGCUUACUCUAUUGUUUGAUAACCGUAUGUUAGAUUGUUAACUGUUUGUCAAACUGUCUUGCAGAUUGCCCUGAGUCAUGACGGGCAGAUCCAGUAUCUUCCCAUCAGUUCAGAACAACAGAUGGUCAGUCCUGAGGACCUGGAGGUUGCUGAACAUUCUGCCAUUACUGCUGUAGCAGAUGCAGCCUUGCAACAGACCCAGACGGUCUAUACAGAGGCCACACAAGAACAGCUGGAGCAGCUACAACAGCAGGGAAUCCAGUAUGAUGUCAUCACCUUCACCGAUGAGUAGAGACCCUCGGAUGGAAGUCGGGAGGGAUGGCUCUCUGUGAUUGCGGACUUGUCUCCUAGUAUGAUGUCUACUAUUGGCUGCCUGAUGUCCGUAUGUAGUGCAGGACUAGUACGGGGGAACCACGAUGACCAGUGACCUCCAGCAUGGUUCGACAUGAUCGGCCCGAGCGAGACUGCAGAGAAUCUAAAAAUCAUUGUAUAAAAUCAUCCAAAACAGCUACUCAUUAUGCGAUCAAGAUUGGCAAAUCUUGGCAGGGUCUUGCCUAGGUCCAUCCCCUAGAACACACUGCUCUACUCUCUAGAAGCUCUGCCGUGCUUCAGAUACCCAGAACCCACUGCUCUACUCUCUAGGAGCUCUGCCAUGCUUCAGAUACCCAGAACACACUGCUCUACUCUCUAGGAUCUCUGCCGUGCUUCAGAUACCCAUAACCCACUGCUCUACUCUCUAGGAUCUCUGCCGUGCUUCAGAUACCCAUAACCCACUGCUCUACUCUCUAGGAGCUUUGCCAUGCUUCAGAUACCCAUAACCCACUGCUCUACUCUCUAGGAUCUCUGCCGUGCUUCAGAUACCCAUAAUCCACUGCUCUACUCUCUAGGAUCUCUGCCGUGCUUCAGAUACCCAUAACCCACUGCUCUACUCGCUAGGAGCUCUGCCGUGCUUCAGAUACCCAUAACCCACUGCUCUACUCUCUAGGAGCUCUGCCGUGCUUCAGAUACCCAGAACCCACUGCUCUACUCUCUAGGAGCUCUGCCGUGCUUCAGAUACCUGGGAUGCUCGAAGCAGCCCCAGAGAGGAUUCUAGUGGCUGGUAGAUCUAUCACUCAUAGUGGGAGUGAUGAAUAGAUGAACUCUCACUGUUAAGUAGAUCUAUAAACAGAAGCUUUUGUAAAUUCUAAAUAUUGUACCCGUCGCUUCUAAGUUAAUCAAUAGGGGCUGAUGUACAUUAAAGAACAAAGUUACACAUGGUUGGAUGAUCUAGACUGUGUCUGAAAUGCCACCCUAUUUCCUACAUAGUGCACUACUUUUGACCAGGGCCCUUCAAAACUGGUGCACUAAAUAGGGAAUAGUUUGUAUUUUGGUACGUAGGCGUACUCUGUAAUUAUUUAAGAUCUGCGGUUUCCUCAACACCUGCUUUGACUUGCAAGACAAUGUCACAAAAGAAGAAAUUAAAAUGGCUGAUGUGUUUUAGAAUAAAGCACAGCUUCCAAUGGACGUUUAGUUUUGAAUAGGAAAGGACUGUGUGAAGACUGCCUCUGGAGGAUCGGAGGACUGUCAGACUACAGGGUUGAUUGUGAUUUGUGGUUUAAAAGGAGUGGUUAAUCAUUUGGUCAUUUGUACAUAUAUUUUUGCAUAUGAAGCAUUUUGUUCCAUGAUUUGCUUAAAUGAAAAUU
Molecule: long non-coding RNA, 2009 nt
Filed under: Oncorhynchus mykiss (rainbow trout)
Lineage: Eukaryota; Metazoa; Chordata; Actinopteri; Salmoniformes; Salmonidae
Description: lncRNA (ENSOMYG00000008018.2)
Source: RNAcentral